This 354-nucleotide unclassified non-coding RNA is filed under the name soil metagenome. RNAcentral describes it as "partial contains 5.8S ribosomal RNA, internal transcribed spacer 2, and large subunit ribosomal RNA". The stretch from base 1 to 120 matches the Rfam family "5.8S ribosomal RNA", at positions 35 to 154 of the family's 154-position model. The record is from RNAcentral.
GAUGAAGAACGUAGCGAAACGCGAUAUGUAAUGUGAAUUGCAGAAUUCAGUGAAUCAUCGAAUCUUUGAACGCACAUGGCGCCUUCCAGUAUCCUGGGAGGCAUGCCUGUCCGAGCGUCGUUUCAACCCUCGAGCCCCCGUGGCCCGGCGUUGGGGAUCUGCCCAGGCAGUCCCCGAAAACCAGUGGCGGAUCCGUUACAGGCCCUUCCCUUGCGUAGUAGCAUUCGCCUCGCAUCGGGAGCCGGCGGGCUUCCAGCCUCUAAACCCCCAUCAAGUCCGCCCCGGCGGCACCAAGGUUGACCUCGGAUCAGGUAGGAAUACCCGCUGAACUUAAGCAUAUCAAUAAGCGGAGGA